This 66-nucleotide transfer RNA is filed under the name Marmota monax (woodchuck). RNAcentral's name for it is "tRNA.Undet". The record is from RNAcentral. Lineage: Eukaryota; Metazoa; Chordata; Mammalia; Rodentia; Sciuridae.
GGUUGUAACUCAGUGGUAGAGUUCUUGCCUAGAUGCACAAGGUCCUGGGUUUGAUACCCAGCACCA